This 253-nucleotide ribosomal RNA is filed under the name uncultured bacterium. Its description in RNAcentral is "partial 16S ribosomal RNA". It matches the Rfam family "Bacterial small subunit ribosomal RNA", at positions 524 to 776 of the family's 1533-position model. The record is from RNAcentral.
CACGUAGGGGACGAGCGUUGUCUGGAUUCAUUGGGCGUAAAGCGCGCGUAGGCGGCUCGGAAAGUCGGUCGUGAAAUGCCGGGGCUCAACCCCGGGACUGCGUCCGAUACUCCCGAGCUGGAGGCAGGUAGGGGAGAUCGGAAUUCCUGGUGUAGCGGUGAAAUGCGUAGAUAUCAGGAGGAACACCGGUGGUGUAGACGGCUUUCUGGACCGUAACUGACGCUGAGACACGAAAGCGUGGGUAGCAAACAGG